RNAcentral lists this long non-coding RNA (1103 nucleotides) under Equus caballus (horse). RNAcentral's name for it is "lncRNA (ENSECAG00000050741.1)". Lineage: Eukaryota; Metazoa; Chordata; Mammalia; Perissodactyla; Equidae. The record is from RNAcentral.
ACGUGACUUUUGAGAUUCUGGAGGGUGGUGAGAUCUACUCUUCCUGAGGCCGCCCAGGAGGUUGAGUCCACGAGCACGCCUGAAUAAGCUACAACCUACUUUCCAUCUCAAAGUUGGAUCUCCAGGGAACUCAGCCUACACUAUUGAACACCUCCAUCUGAGAAUACUGCUGAGACCAGCUCAUUGCUGUCUAGGUCUGUUGCAUGUUUAUCAUUCUGGUCUUCUCUUCAUUAUCGUCUGCAUUUAUAGGAUCUUAUGUCUCCCUUUUUAAUUGUUUUCGUAUUCAUUUUGUUGGAGCGCAACCUGCAGUAGAUUUCCUAAGAAUAAGCAAAAGAGCUAAAUUUUUGUCUAACCCUUUGGUAUCAUCCUUCAUCCUUUGUGUUUUGCAUUUCCAUGAUUAUAAGUCUUGCUCUAGAUUCUUAAAAAUUUUUAUUUAUUAUACCAGACAAUUGAUCUAGGAGUCAUUUUUCUUUUUCCUAUUGUUUCUUACAUAAUUUUCUGCUUUCUACUUUGUCUUUCUAGAUGACGAGUAAAUUAUUGAUAAUUUGACUUAUAAGUUUUGUUAAUUAGAUAUUGGGCUUUUUGUAUGGAUUAAGUUUCUAAUUUCCUUUUCCUGAUAUUUUUACCUUUCUGUUUUAUUUUUUUGAGAUUUUCCUGACUCUUCCAAACUUGCCAUUAAUUUUUACAUUUCAAUUGUCUUAUUUUUAGCUUCCAAAUUCUUUAUUAUUCCUGAUUUUUCCUUUCAUAUAGCAAAUCAUUCUUGUUUUAGAAAUGCAAUUCUUUUAUUUCCUCAAGAAUAUUAAUUGUAGUUCCUUAUUAAGUUUUAUUCUGCUUCUUGCAUUGUUCCCGUUUCCUCUUAUUUCUCUUUAUUUGUUUUUUGUCUAUAUUUUCUCAAUGGCUUUCCUCCUCUACCUAACGAUUUCUUUGCUGUUCAUUUAAAUUUAAAAGUGAGCUAUAAAAAAAUUGCAUGUGGGGAAGUUUUGUGUGCAUGGCAGAGCUUAUCUGCUGGCGAGUUUCACUGUAUGAUUACGUGACGAAGCCAGCCUUUUUAUGUGAGAGUACUGUUUUUGGCAUAUUGUGGUUUGUACUUUUUCCAAAGAAGA